GUCCCUGCAGCCAAGACCCUGC
RNAcentral lists this microRNA (22 nucleotides) under Monodelphis domestica (gray short-tailed opossum). RNAcentral's name for it is "mdo-miR-7356-5p". Lineage: Eukaryota; Metazoa; Chordata; Mammalia; Didelphimorphia; Didelphidae. The record is from miRBase by way of RNAcentral.